GUGGGGGAUAUUGCACAAUGGAGGAAACUCUGAUGCAGCGACGCCGCGUGAGUGAAGAAGGCCUUCGGGUCGUAAAGCUCUGUCCUAGGGGAAGAUAAUGACGGUACCCUAGGAGGAAGCCCCGGCUAACUACGUGCCAGCAGCCGCGGUAAUACGUAGGGGGCGAGCGUUGUCCGGAAUUACUGGGCGUAAAGAGUUCGUAGGCGGUCUGAUAAGUCAGAUGUGAAAGGCGUAGGCUUAACCUAUGUAAGCAUAUGAAACUGUCAGACUUGAGGUAAGGAGAGGAAAGUGGAAUUCCUAGUGUAGCGGUGAAAUGCGUAGAUAUUAGGAGGAAUACCAGUGGCGAAGGCGACUUUCUGGACUUAAACUGACGCUGAGGAACGAAAGCGUGGGGAGCAAACAGGAUUAGAAACCCUAGUAGUCC
This 424-nucleotide ribosomal RNA is filed under the name uncultured bacterium. Its description in RNAcentral is "bacterial SSU rRNA". It matches the Rfam family "Bacterial small subunit ribosomal RNA", at positions 354 to 796 of the family's 1533-position model. The record is from RNAcentral.